Molecule: small RNA, 1036 nt
Filed under: Pan troglodytes (chimpanzee)
Lineage: Eukaryota; Metazoa; Chordata; Mammalia; Primates; Hominidae
Description: retained intron
Source: RNAcentral
CGCCUCGCGAAGAUGGUGGCGCGCGCGGCGUGUGGCUCCCGUCGUCUGGCCAAGUCUCAGCGCAGCGCACCGGCCGGCGUCUCGUUGGCCUGGAGCCCACACCCACCGGGUCCCUGACCCCGCGCCCCCUGCGCCCGGUUCCCGGCAUGCCUCGCGCCCGUAAGGGCAACACGCUCCGGAAGGGUGGUCAGCGCCGUGGAGGAGGUGCCCGGAGCAGUACCCAAGCUGACUCGGGUUCCAGUGACGAUGAGGCAGCCAGUGAGGCCCGCAGCACCGCCAGUGAAUGCCCCAGCCUUCUCAGCACCACUGCAGAGGAUAGCCUUGGUGAGAGCGGGUGGAAGUUUGACAGGGGCUUGGUGAGGGCUCCAUGGGCUGAGGACAAGAAGCAGUGCUGACCAGGUGGCCUUGCAGGGGGGGAUGUCGUGGAUGAGCAGGGCCAGCAGGAAGACCUUGAGGAAAAGCUGAAGGAGUAUGUGGACUGUCUCACAGACAAGAGGUACCCCUGGCUGCCAGCCAACUCCUACACCCAGCUCCAAGUGUGAUCAAGGGAGGGCUGGCCCAUAUGACCCCCCUUCUCGACCUCCCCCAGUGCCAAGACCCGGCAGGGUGCUCUUGAGAGCCUGCGCCUGGCCCUAGCGUCCCGCCUGCUCCCUGACUUCUUGCUGGAGCGCCGCCUCACGCUAGCCGAUGCCCUGGAAAAGUGCCUCAAGAAAGGGAAGGGUGAGGAACAAGCCCUGGCUGCUGCUGUGCUAGGCCUGCUCUGCGUGCAGCUGGGCCCUGGACCUAAGGGUGAGGAGCUGUUCCACAGCCUGCAGCCUCUGCUGGUCUCUGUGCUCAGUGACAGCACAGCUAGCCCUGCUGCCCGGCUCCACUGUGCUUCUGCCCUUGGCCUGGGCUGCUACGUGGCUGCCGCUGACAUCCAGGCAGCUGCCCCGGCUGCCCCAGCUCUUGUCCAGUGAAAGUGUGAACCUGCGGAUCGCUGCCGGUGAAACCAUUGCACUGCUCUUUGAGCUUGCCCGGGACCUUGAGGUGCGAG